GACGAACGCUGGCGGCGUGCUUAACACAUGCAAGUCGAACGGAAAGGCCCUGCUUUUGUGGGGUGCUCGAGUGGCGAACGGGUGAGUAACACGUGAGUAACCUGCCCUUGACUUUGGGAUAACUUCAGGAAACUGGGGCUAAUACCGGAUAGGAGCUCCUGCUGCAUGGUGGGGGUUGGAAAGUUUCGGCGGUUGGGGAUGGACUCGCGGCUUAUCAGCUUGUUGGUGGGGUAGUGGCUUACCAAGGCUUUGACGGGUAGCCGGCCUGAGAGGGUGACCGGCCACAUUGGGACUGAGAUACGGCCCAGACUCCUACGGGAGGCAGCAGCGGGGAAUAUUGCACAAUGGGCGGGAGCCUGAUGCAGCAACGCCGCGUGCGGGAUGACGGCCUUCGGGUUGUAAACCGCUUUCGCCUGUGACGAAGCGUGAGUGACGGUAAUGGGUAAAGAAGCACCGGCUAACUACGUG
Molecule: ribosomal RNA, 468 nt
Filed under: uncultured bacterium
Lineage: Bacteria
Description: partial 16S ribosomal RNA
Rfam family: Bacterial small subunit ribosomal RNA
Source: RNAcentral